This 454-nucleotide ribosomal RNA is filed under the name Streptococcus mitis. RNAcentral describes it as "bacterial SSU rRNA". It matches the Rfam family "Bacterial small subunit ribosomal RNA", at positions 28 to 468 of the family's 1533-position model. Lineage: Bacteria; Bacillati; Bacillota; Bacilli; Lactobacillales; Streptococcaceae. The record is from RNAcentral.
GACGAACGCUGGCGGCGUGCCUAAUACAUGCAAGUAGAACGCUGAAGGAGGAGCUUGCUUCUCUGGAUGAGUUGCGAACGGGUGAGUAACGCGUAGGUAACCUGCCUGGUAGCGGGGGAUAACUAUUGGAAACGAUAGCUAAUACCGCAUAAGAGUAGAUGUUGCAUGACAUUUGCUUAAAAGGUGCAAUUGCAUCACUACCAGGUGGACCUGCGUUGUAUUAGCUAGUUGGUGGGGUAACGGCUCACCAAGGCGACGAUACAUAGCCGACCUGAGAGGGUGAUCGGCCACACUGGGACUGAGACACGGCCCAGACUCCUACGGGAGGCAGCAGUAGGGAAUCUUCGGCAAUGGACGGAAGUCUGACCGAGCAACGCCGCGUGAGUGAAGAAGGUUUUCGGAUCGUAAAGCUCUGUUGUAAGAGAAGAACGAGUGUGAGAGUGGAAAGUUCACC